AAUCCCAUUUCCCAUUCCAUCCCUUCAUCUCUUCAUUUUAGUUAGUUUUCUUUUGAGAAUUCAAGAAGAGCUCACCUACAAGCAUCAAAGCUUCAUCACCAUAAGGGAAAUUCAAGAUUGGUAAAGAGAGGGAGCUUAAUUUCAAAAUAUGAGAAGGCAAGGCCAACUUCUCCUUUUCCCAACGAAGUAUGGGUUUAAGAUCAGGAAAUCAUCUGGAGAGUAUAUGCUUUUCUAUCUAAAUGGCAAGGUUGAUGAACUGGGGAAGUUUGUCUUCAUAGGCUGAAUUCCAGGAGGAUUGCAAAUGAAUUUGCAUUUAUAAAGCUUGAUUCGAUAUAGGCAUGUCUGAGGCAUGAAGCUUUCAAUUGAAGAGCAAGAAGCUUCAAAGUAGGCAUGGUAUUUACUAACUGCGGUGAUCACUGCAACAACAUCCUUAGCCCCCAGAUGUAUUGGAAUACAAUAUCAGACCAAGCUAUAGGUCAUCUCAAAUCGACCCCUUGCUCGAGAUUGAUUGUCUGGGAGCAACUCCUUGGUCUGUAAGUAUACAACCUUGUUUUCAUUCUUCUCAUGACCUUAUUGCA
This is an RNA transcript of Fragaria vesca subsp. vesca, 578 nucleotides long. RefSeq lists it as uncharacterized. The transcript has 3 exons. Lineage: Eukaryota; Viridiplantae; Streptophyta; Magnoliopsida; Rosales; Rosaceae. The record is from RefSeq and is a predicted model, not a curated record.